UUGUUGGAGAGUUUGAUCCUGGCUCAGGACGAACGCUGGCGGCGUGCUUAACACAUGCAAGUCGAGCGGUAAGGCCCUUUCGGGGGUACACGAGCGGCGAACGGGUGAGUAACACGUGGGUGACCUGCCCUCCACUCUGGGAUAAGCCCGGGAAACUGGGUCUAAUACCGGAUAGGACCACUGAUCGCAUGGUUGGUGGUGGAAAGUUUUUUCGGUGGGGGAUGGGCCCGCGGCCUAUCAGCUUGUUGGUGGGGUGAUGGCCUACCAAGGCGGUGACGGGUAGCCGGCCUGAGAGGGCGACCGGCCACACUGGGACUGAGACACGGCCCAGACUCCUACGGGAGGCAGCAGUGGGGAAUAUUGCGCAAUGGGCGGAAGCCUGACGCAGCGACGCCGCGUGGGGGAUGACGGCCUUCGGGUUGUAAACCUCUUUCGCCAG
This 439-nucleotide ribosomal RNA is filed under the name Pseudonocardia sp. SID8383. RNAcentral describes it as "bacterial SSU rRNA". It matches the Rfam family "Bacterial small subunit ribosomal RNA", at positions 1 to 442 of the family's 1533-position model. The record is from RNAcentral. Lineage: Bacteria; Bacillati; Actinomycetota; Actinomycetes; Pseudonocardiales; Pseudonocardiaceae.